This 379-nucleotide unclassified non-coding RNA is filed under the name uncultured delta proteobacterium. RNAcentral describes it as "contains 16S-23S intergenic spacer region". The record is from RNAcentral. Lineage: Bacteria; Deltaproteobacteria.
UCUGUCUUAUCGACAAGCGGUCCCUUUAGAGUGCCCAACUUAAUGCUGGCAACUAAAGGCAAGGGUUGCGCUCGUUGCGGGACUUAACCCAACAUCUCACGACACGAGCUGACGACAGCCAUGCAGCACCUGUCACCGCGCCCCGUAAGGGGAUUCGCUACUUUCAUAGUUAUGCGCGGGAUGUCAAGCCUAGGUAAGGUUUUUCGCGUUGCGUCGAAUUAAACCACAUACUCCACCGCUUGUGCGGGCCCCCGUCAAUUUCUUUGAGUUUUAACCUUGCGGCCGUACUUCCCAGGCGGGGUACUCAAUGCGUUAGCGACGACACCGGAACGGCAAGACGUUCCGACAUCUAGUACCCAUAGUUUACGGCAUGGACUAC